This is a long non-coding RNA of Pezoporus flaviventris, 853 nucleotides long. RefSeq lists it as uncharacterized. NCBI's taxonomy places the organism in Eukaryota, Metazoa, Chordata, Aves, Psittaciformes, Psittacidae. The transcript has 2 exons. The record is from RefSeq and is a predicted model, not a curated record.
UCCCAGGACAUUUCAUGGGCCUCCGGGAGCUUGCAGCAGUUCCUCACAUGCAAAACCAGUGAAGCUGCCAAUUACAUAUUGCAGACAUCCCAGAAUUACUGGGACAGUUUCACACACAAGCUGGGGUCUGGGGGAUGUUCAGUUGCUGUCCUAUGGGAAGCUGAAUUUGGGGUUAUUUUUAGAUAAAGAUUAUAAAUACCAUGGUAAGAAGAGUUGAUUUACAUUGAGGGUUGUGUCUGCAGACGUGCCCUGUCCCUGCAAGUCCCAGUGCUCACUCCUGCAGCCACAGGAACCUGCUUUGAGCUGGGACACGGUGUCCCCAAGGCCACCUUCUCCCAAACACCAGGAUCCAUGGGCAGGGAUUCUCCUGUGGACAUGGCCAUGAAUAUCUGGGGACCCCCAGCAGGAGCCACAUGGCUCCCUGGAGCUGGCUUUGGGUGGGGAGAAACCUCUGCAAAGCCUCUCGUCCUCAGACCCCUGGAAGGAGAAAGGAUGCGACUGCCUGGUAUGAGAUACAGCCCCUGGUCCAGAGCAGCCUCUCCCCAGCACGAGGUGCCCAGGGUGGACACCCUCCCACCAUGGCAUUUCGGGACCGAGACUUUUCUUCAACUGUUUCUUUUUGUAAAAACUCAUAAUGCAACUUUUUUUUUUAAUUAAAACAAAAGAAGAACGCAGACCCAACGCUAUGGCCAGGCUGUGAGCCUGGCACCAGCCCAGCGACUGGAAAUGAAGCAGGACCAGGCCAACCUUGUCAUGGGGAUAUUAGUAAAAGUGAAGGCAGAAAAAUCAAAUGUGUUUUCAUGGAAAUUUCCAUUUUUGAAGAAAAAAAAAAAUAAAAGAAGGACUAAACUUG